AGCGAACGCUGGCGGCAGGCCUAACACAUGCAAGUCGAACGAACCUUUCGGGGUUAGUGGCGGACGGGUGAGUAACACGUGGGAACGUGCCUUUAGGUUCGGAAUAACUCAGGGAAACUUGUGCUAAUACCGAAUGUGCCCUUCGGGGGAAAGAUUUAUCGUCUUUAGAGCGGCCCGCGUCUGAUUAGCUAGUUGGUUAAGGUAAUGGCUCACCAAGGCGACGAUCAGUAGCUGGUCUGAGAGGAUGAUCAGCCACAUUGGGACUGAGACACGGCCCAAACUCCUACGGGAGGCAGCAGUGGGGAAUCUUGCGCAAUGGGCGAAAGCCUGACGCAGCCAUGCCGCGUGAAUGAUGAAGGUCUUAGGAUUGUAAAAUUCUUUCACCGGGGACGAUAAUGACGGUACCCGGAGAAGAAGCCCCGGCUAACUUCGUG
Molecule: ribosomal RNA, 434 nt
Filed under: uncultured bacterium
Lineage: Bacteria
Description: partial 16S ribosomal RNA
Rfam family: Bacterial small subunit ribosomal RNA
Source: RNAcentral